Hibiscus syriacus is the source of this 220-nucleotide small nucleolar RNA. RefSeq annotates it as small nucleolar RNA U3. The transcript has a single exon. The record is from RefSeq and is a predicted model, not a curated record. Lineage: Eukaryota; Viridiplantae; Streptophyta; Magnoliopsida; Malvales; Malvaceae.
UUGACCACUUGAACAGGAUCUGUUCUAUAGGCUCGUACCUCUGUAUCCUAUCCUUGAGUUCUAAGGAGACAGGAUUCCAUGUCUGGUUGAUGAACCGAGUCUGUGUAAUCAGAGCGUGAUUAUUAGCCUGGCUUCUUCUUCAGGGGUUGCUUUGGCUGUAGAGGAUCAUUCUCAGUCAGCUCAUUUCGACUGGGAUGGUUACACAGUUGUUUGACAGACU